AAUAGAUGACGCCGUUGAUUUUUUCUCAUGUGUUUGACCAUUCGUUUUAUUUAAAAAUUUUAUGUAAUUAUAAUUUAUUUUGUUAUGAGUUGUUUUAUCACUUAUAGUGCUUUAAGUGUGAUUUAUAUCUUAUGCAUUUGCAUAAAAUUUUUGAAUAAAACGAAUAGUCAAACAUAUGAGAAAAAGUCAACGGCGUCAUCUAUU
Molecule: microRNA precursor, 204 nt
Filed under: Oryza sativa Japonica Group (Japanese rice)
Lineage: Eukaryota; Viridiplantae; Streptophyta; Magnoliopsida; Poales; Poaceae
Description: MIR812 microRNA precursor family
Rfam family: MIR812 microRNA precursor family
Source: Rfam by way of RNAcentral